GGACAUGUGCACGCUCUCUCAACUCAAUUCAACCUUACACCUGUGCACCCAUUGUAGGCUGGGGUGGCGUCAAGCUGCCCCUUCCUAUGUUUUAUCAUAUAUACACCUGUCAGUCUCAGAAUGUCAUCUGCGUAUAACGCAUUUUUUGAAAACAACUUUCAACAACGGAUCUCUUGGCUCUCGCAUCGAUGAAGAACGCAGCGAAAUGCGAUAAGUAAUGUGAAUUGCAGAAUUCAGUGAAUCAUCGAAUCUUUGAACGCACCUUGCGCUCCUUGGUAUUCCGAGGAGCAUGCCUGUUUGAGUGUCAUGAAUCUCUCAACCCACCUGGUUUUUGUUAACUGUGGUGGGCUUGGAUUUGGGGGCUUUGCUGGCUGUCAAGUCGGCUCCUCUCUAAAUGUAUUAGCUGAACCCGUUGCGGAACAGUGGCUCGGUGUGAUAAUUGUCUACGCCGUCUCUGGGAAGCGUCUUUGGUUGAUCGGCUUCUAAACUGUCCUCGGACAAUUUUGACAGUUUGACCUCAAAUCAGGUAGGAUUACCCGC
RNAcentral lists this ribosomal RNA (540 nucleotides) under Neolentinus sp. 751. Its description in RNAcentral is "eukaryotic LSU rRNA". The stretch from base 154 to 307 matches the Rfam family "5.8S ribosomal RNA". The record is from RNAcentral. Lineage: Eukaryota; Fungi; Basidiomycota; Agaricomycetes; Gloeophyllales; Gloeophyllaceae.